This 49-nucleotide ribosomal RNA is filed under the name Amsonia orientalis. Its description in RNAcentral is "partial 28S ribosomal RNA". The record is from RNAcentral. Lineage: Eukaryota; Viridiplantae; Streptophyta; Magnoliopsida; Gentianales; Apocynaceae.
CGCGACCCCAGGUCAGGCGGGACUACCCGCUGAGUUUAAGCAUAUCAUA